This is a small nucleolar RNA of Tachyglossus aculeatus (Australian echidna), 133 nucleotides long. RefSeq annotates it as small nucleolar RNA SNORA13. NCBI's taxonomy places the organism in Eukaryota, Metazoa, Chordata, Mammalia, Monotremata, Tachyglossidae. The record is from RefSeq and is a predicted model, not a curated record. The transcript has a single exon.
UGCCUUUGUGUUGCCCAUUCAUGUGUUCCGGUGAUGACAUGGGUGUCAAAAGAGGCAUAAAUGAUGUGCUCUAGCAGCAUGUUGGAUUUGAGGAGCCCCUUCCUCUCUUCUUCCGCUGCUUGGAGGGACACCG